Molecule: ribosomal RNA, 657 nt
Filed under: uncultured bacterium
Lineage: Bacteria
Description: bacterial SSU rRNA
Rfam family: Bacterial small subunit ribosomal RNA
Source: RNAcentral
AGACUUUGAUUCUGGCUCAGGAUGAACGCUAGCGGCAGGCCUAACACAUGCAAGUCGAGGGGUAUUCGGUUUUCGGACCGGAGAGACCGGCGCACGGGUGCGUAACGCGUAUGCAAUCUACCUUUAGCAGGGGAAUAGCCCGGAGAAAUUCGGAUUAAUGCCCCAUAGUAUUUGAUACCUGCAUGGGUAUUAAAUUAAAGCCACGGCGGCUAGAGAUGAGCAUGCGUCCUAUUAGCUAGUUGGAGAGGUAACGGCUCCCCAAGGCGACGAUAGGUAGGGGUCCUGAGAGGGAGAUCCCCCACACUGGUACUGAGACACGGACCAGACUCCUACGGGAGGCAGCAGUGAGGAAUAUUGGACAAUGGGCGGAAGCCUGAUCCAGCCAUGCCGCGUGCAGGAAGACGGCCCUAUGGGUUGUAAACUGCUUUUAUACAGGAAGAAUAACCAUCUUGCGAGGUGGGAUGCCGGUACUGUAUGAAUAAGCAUCGGCUAACUCCGUGCCAGCAGCCGCGGUAAUACGGAGGAUGCGAGCGUUAUCCGGAAUCAUUGGGUUUAAAGGGUCCGUAGGCGGUUGUGUAAGUCAGUGGUGAAAUCUUUUCAGCUCAACUGAAAAUGGCCCAUUGAAACUGCAUAACUUGAGUUACUGUGAAGUAAGUA